UGCGGAGGUGGUCUUUUAAGUCAGAAGUGAAAGGCAUUGGCUCAACCAAUGUAAGCUUUUGAAACUGAAAGACUUGAGUGCAGGAGAGGUAAGUGGAAUUCCUAGUGUAGCGGUGAAAUGCGUAGAUAUUAGGAGGAACACCAGUGGCGAAGGCGACUUACUGGACUGUUACUGACACUGAGGCACGAAAGCGUGGGGAGCGAACAGGAUUAGAUACCCUGGUAGUCC
Molecule: ribosomal RNA, 228 nt
Filed under: uncultured bacterium
Lineage: Bacteria
Description: partial 16S ribosomal RNA
Rfam family: Bacterial small subunit ribosomal RNA
Source: RNAcentral